Molecule: ribosomal RNA, 423 nt
Filed under: uncultured prokaryote
Description: bacterial SSU rRNA
Rfam family: Bacterial small subunit ribosomal RNA
Source: RNAcentral
UGAGGAAUAUUGGUCAAUGGGCGCAAGCCUGAACCAGCCAUCCCGCGUGCAGGAAGACGGCCCUAUGGGUUGUAAACUGCUUUUCCAGGGGGAGAAACUUGCGCACGUGUUGCGCAAUUGACGGUACCCUGGGAAUAAGCAUCGGCUAACUCCGUGCCAGCAGCCGCGGUAAUACGGAGGAUGCGAGCGUUAUCCGGAUUUAUUGGGUUUAAAGGGUGCGUAGGCGGAUAGAUAAGUCAGUGGUGAAAACCUGCAGCUUAACUGUAGACUUGCCGUUGAUACUGUCAGUCUUGAGUAUGGUCAAGGUAGGCGGAAUGUGUAAUGUAGCGGUGAAAUGCUUAGAUAUUACACAGAACACCGAUUGCGAAGGCAGCUUGCUGGGCCAUUACUGACGCUGAUGCACGAAAGCGUGGGGAUCGAACA